CUCCAGACUCCUACGGGAGGCAGCCGUGGGGAAUAUUGCACAAUGGGGGGACCCCUGAUGCAGCGCCUCCUCGUGGGUGCAGGAGCACCUCGGUGCGUCCAGCCCUAUCGUCCUGGAAGAAACCGCCGGUACCUGCCUCUUCAGCCCCGUCUCCCUACGUGCCCGCCGCCGCGGGAAUCCGUCGGUGGCAACCUUUAUCCGGAAUUCCUUGUGGGAAAGGGUGUGUAGGCGGGGCUGCAAGUCAGAGUGGAAAAUUAGGGGAGCAACCCAUAACCUGCGUCUGAAACUGUAGCUCUUGAGAGUGGGAGAGGUAAACGGAAUUCCCGGUGUAGCGGUGAAAUGCGUAGAGAGCGGGAGGAACACCAGUGGCGAAGGCGGUGUACUGGACCACAACUGACGCUGAGACACGAAAGCGUGGGGAGCAAACAGGAUUAGAUACCCUUGUA
This 446-nucleotide ribosomal RNA is filed under the name uncultured bacterium. Its description in RNAcentral is "partial 16S ribosomal RNA". It matches the Rfam family "Bacterial small subunit ribosomal RNA", at positions 329 to 792 of the family's 1533-position model. The record is from RNAcentral.